RNAcentral lists this unclassified non-coding RNA (254 nucleotides) under uncultured Gemmatimonadota bacterium. RNAcentral's name for it is "uncultured Gemmatimonadetes bacterium contains 16S-23S intergenic spacer region". It matches the Rfam family "Bacterial small subunit ribosomal RNA", at positions 524 to 776 of the family's 1533-position model. The record is from RNAcentral. Lineage: Bacteria; Pseudomonadati; Gemmatimonadota.
UACGGAGGGUGCGAGCGUUGUUCGGAAUCACUGGGCGUAAAGCGCGCGCAGGCGGGACCUGCAAGUCGGAAGUGAAAUCCCGGGGCUCAACUCCGGGGCUGCUUUCGAAACUGCGGACCUGGAGACCAGUAGGGGUUGGUGGAAUUCCCAGUGUAGCGGUGGAAUGCGUAGAUAUUGGGAAGAACACCGGUGGCGAAGGCGGCCAACUGGGCUGGAUCUGACGCUGAGGCGCGAAAGCGUGGGGAGCAAACAGG